GAUGAACGCUGGCGGCGUGCUUAACACAUGCAAGUCGAACGAUGAAGCCCAGCUUGCUGGGUGGAUUAGUGGCGAACGGGUGAGUAACACGUGAGUAACCUGCCCUUAACUCUGGGAUAAGCCUGGGAAACUGGGUCUAAUACCGGAUAGGAGCGUCCACCGCAUGGUGGGUGUUGGAGAGAUUUAUCGGUUUUGGAUGGACUCGCGGCCUAUCAGCUUGUUGGUGGGGUAAUGGCUCACCAAGGCGACGACGGGUAGCCGGCCUGAGAGGGUGACCGGCCACACUGGGACUGAGACACGGCCCAGACUCCUACGGGAGGCAGCAGUGGGGAAUAUUGCACAAUGGGCGCAAGCCUGAUGCAGCGACGCCGCGUGAGGGAUGACGGCCUUCGGGUUGUAAACCUCUUUCAGUAGGGAAGAAGCGAAAGUGACGGUACCUGCAGAAGAAGCACCGGCUAACUACGUG
RNAcentral lists this ribosomal RNA (466 nucleotides) under uncultured bacterium. RNAcentral's name for it is "partial 16S ribosomal RNA". It matches the Rfam family "Bacterial small subunit ribosomal RNA", at positions 28 to 507 of the family's 1533-position model. The record is from RNAcentral.